This 497-nucleotide ribosomal RNA is filed under the name uncultured bacterium. RNAcentral describes it as "partial 16S ribosomal RNA". It matches the Rfam family "Bacterial small subunit ribosomal RNA", at positions 28 to 507 of the family's 1533-position model. The record is from RNAcentral.
GAUGAACGCUGGCGGCGUGCCUAAUACAUGCAAGUCGAGCGAACGGACGAGAAGCUUGCUUCUCUGAUGUUAGCGGCGGACGGGUGAGUAACACGUGGAUAACCUACCUAUAAGACUGGGAUAACUUCGGGAAACCGGAGCUAAUACCGGAUAAUAUUUUGAACCGCAUGGUUCAAAAGUGAAAGACGGUCUUGCUGUCACUUAUAGAUGGAUCCGCGCUGCAUUAGCUAGUUGGUAAGGUAACGGCUUACCAAGGCAACGAUGCAUAGCCGACCUGAGAGGGUGAUGGGCCACACUGGAACUGAGACACGGUCCAGACUCCGACGGGAGGCAGCAGUAGGGAAUCUUCCGAGAUGGGCGAAAGACUGACGGAGCAACGCCGCGUGAGUGAUGAAGGUCUUCGGAUCGUAAAACUCUGUUAUUAGGGAAGAACAUAUGUGUAAGUAACUGUGCACAUCUUGACGGUACCUAAUCAGAAAGCCACGGCUAACUACGUG